GCCGCGGUAAUUCCAGCUCCAAUAGCGUAUAUUAACGUUGUUGCAGUUAAAAAGCUCGUAGUUGAAGUGAGGGAGUGUGUGUUGUGAUCGAAUCGAUCGAGAGCAGUACAAGCUCCCCCUUCCAAUGGGUGUAUUGGGGUAUUCAUUUACUUCAUUACUCCUUUGGUCGUUUACUGUGAGAAAAUUAGAGUGUUCAAAGCGGGCGUUUGUUUGAAUAGAUUAGCAUGGAAUAAUGAUUGAAGGCUUUCGUGUUCGAUUUGAUUGGUUUGUUCAUGGAAGCAAGGUUAAAAGGAACAGUUGGGGGUAUUCAUAUUCACUAGUUAGAGGUGAAAUUCUCGGAUUUAUGGAAGAUGAACAGGUGCGAAAGCAUUUACCAAGGAUGUUUUCAUUAAUCAAGGACGAAGG
This 405-nucleotide ribosomal RNA is filed under the name Blastocystis sp. RNAcentral describes it as "SSU rRNA". It matches the Rfam family "Eukaryotic small subunit ribosomal RNA", at positions 573 to 989 of the family's 1831-position model. The record is from RNAcentral. Lineage: Eukaryota; Bigyra; Opalinata; Blastocystidae.